AACGAACGCUGGCGGCAUGCCUAACACAUGCAAGUCGAACGGGAUCCUAGCUUGCUAGGUGAGAGUGGCGGACGGGUGAGUAACACGUGGGAAUCUGCCUUUUGGUUCGGGAUAACCGCGGGAAACUGCGGCUAAUACCGAAUGCCCUCGUGAGAGGAAAGAUUUAUCGCCAGAAGAGGAGCCCGCGUCCGAUUAGGUAGUUGGUGGGGUAAAGGCCUACCAAGCCGACGAUCGGUAGCUGGUCUGAGAGGAUGAUCAGCCACACUGGGACUGAGAUACGGCCCAGACUCCUACGGGAGGCAGCAGUGGGGAAUAUUGGACAAUGGGGGCAACCCUGAUCCAGCAAUGCCGCGUGAGUGGUGAAGGCCUUAGGGUUGUAAAGCUCUUUUACCCGGGAUGAUAAUGACAGUACCGGGAGAAUAAGCCCCGGCUAACUCCGUGCCAGCAG
This 448-nucleotide ribosomal RNA is filed under the name uncultured bacterium. Its description in RNAcentral is "bacterial SSU rRNA". It matches the Rfam family "Bacterial small subunit ribosomal RNA", at positions 29 to 514 of the family's 1533-position model. The record is from RNAcentral.